AUAAAGAAAAGGCUCCCAAACCAGGUCAUUUAAAUUAUUUAGUGUUACUCAAGCUGCACGGUGCCAGGGUGCACUGACUUCUAAUGAGUGGAUUUCUGGCUGGUGGCCAAGUCCUUGCUUUGGCAGUACCUUGCACUUGAAUUAUUUUUCUUCCUGAAUUUGUAGAUGAGAUUGUUGGAAUGGAGUGGGUUUGAGUGAUGUUUGGAAGCAAGCCUCAGAAUGUUUCCUGUGCUGCAGCAGCACGUGAAGCAAUUCAGAAGCAAUUCAGGCUUCUUUCUUACACGUGCCCUAGUCCUGGCUGGGGGAAACCACCUUGGAAGAUGGCACAGAGUGACCUCACUGGCUCACCUGUGUUGGUGUGGCACUGCUACAACCAGCACUUUGAUAGCAUUGUGAUUUUAUUGUGAUGUGUGUGUGCCACGUACGGUCACAGGUGGGCUCUGCAAGGGGCUUUUGGUUGCCAUUCUCUGUUCUGUAGUUCCUUUCAAACGAUGAGUCGUGUCAUCCAGGCACCGUAACAUAACUACCUGCACCAAAGGUCUUUAUUAUCAAAUGCCUUUGUGGUUUGUGUUUGCACACUGAGUGGACACUUCAGUGCAGAGAGACAUAGAUGUUCUGCAGCUGACCACAUUAUCACUCAAACACAGAGCAGAGAUCAGGAAUUUAUCACCACCAGAGUUGAAAAAUCCUGCUUUCUAAUAAUGCAGUUGACUGAUUGUUGGUUGAUGCACUAUAGGACUACUUCUUCUGUCACAAGAUAUGCAAAUGUGUUUAAUUUAAUCCACUGCUUCUCAGUACUAAUUUUAACAGGCUCCCUUUCAGUGUUAAAUAUGCAGAUUUGUUUUCAUACCUGAAUAUUAUACAAAAUGCUUUACCACCACUGCGCCUUAAGACUCAGAGCAGGCAUGCCUUAACGCAACAUCUCUGGUGAUACAAUCAUAGAACCACGGAGGUGUGUUAAUGUAAGCAGUAACUUUUAAAGUUAAACUCCUCCCCAUCAAGUUAAGGGUUAUGGACACUUAAGCAAGUAGAUUACAAGUGCAGCUGUGGUGUAGGUGGUUUUCUGCUUGACCACAGCUUUGGCCACUCAUUAAGCUGAUGAAGUUCCAUCUUUAGCUGCGCAUGUUUGUUCUGUGAAUUUUCAGGGUAGGAGGCAGCUUAGAAAAAAAGGCUUUUGUGUGCCAGAUAGCUUCCAAAGGCGUACUGUGCCCUACAUCUGUGAAUAGAAAGCUCUGAAGAACUGAAUCUGGCUUCCUCAAUUUUACUUGGCGUUACAGUGGAUACUGUUCAUAGAAGUUCACCUUACUGAUCAGCCUCACUGGAAAAGAAAUUGAAGCAAACCUGGCAUGAUCAAAAAUUCAUGAAGACCUACGAGCAACAGUCUAGCAGUAUCAGCACCUCAGCUCCACAUGGGAAAAGUAACUUCAUUUCUGCACUAAGUGUUUUUUGUAUAAUUACGUCAUGAAGGAAAGGAUGAGCUCUCCAAGCGUGGACCUUUCUUAUAUUGGAUGUUAAUAAGAAACUGCUAGUUUAAAACAGCAGUGAUAUAUUGCAUAGCACAGAAUUACUCAGAAAAGUGAUUUAGUCACCAAGCAGAAGCGGUCCCUUUUCUGAGAAGAUCUAACAAGCUCCAAGAUGCUCAUGGCAUGAAUAAAAGAACACCUUUGGCACCAGUGUCACCUGAGGUUCCAGGAAAUGAUGAGGGGAGAGCCACUAAUGAUAAAUGAUCCUGCAAGUCCUCUCUAUCUACAACUGCUGCUGCUUAAGCGAGAAAUCUGCAGAUGGAAGACUUCCUGGAAAGGCCAUGAAGGGGAAAACUUCUGAGCAGAAACUCGUCUGUCUGUCACAUUUUGACAGUCCUUGACUCUACCUUGGCUUCUGUUGGAAAGCUAAUAUUGCCUCUCUAAGUGAAGAUGGAAACUAUCUACUAGAGAACCGUAGAGCCAUAUAGGCUGCAACACACCUGACAGUUGGGUCUCUGAAGUGGUGAAUUUGUGAAAGGAAAAAAAAAAAAAAAAAAAAAAAAAAAACUAUGUUGCCAGAGUUGCACUGUUAGUUUCUGUUCAACUUAAACAGAGUUUCUUAAAAUAAAGCUUGAAUUUAGAGAUUUCGUGCAUGAGCAAGUACAUAACCUGGUAAUACAAGGACUAUUUACAGCUGAUUCUAAACAAAAUA
This is a long non-coding RNA of Lagopus muta (rock ptarmigan), 2175 nucleotides long. RefSeq lists it as uncharacterized. The record is from RefSeq and is a predicted model, not a curated record. The transcript is spliced from 7 exons. Lineage: Eukaryota; Metazoa; Chordata; Aves; Galliformes; Phasianidae.